RNAcentral lists this ribosomal RNA (447 nucleotides) under uncultured bacterium. RNAcentral's name for it is "partial 16S ribosomal RNA". It matches the Rfam family "Bacterial small subunit ribosomal RNA", at positions 29 to 523 of the family's 1533-position model. The record is from RNAcentral.
AACGAACGCAGGCGGCAGGCUUAACACAUGCAAGUCGAACGCAUCGCAAGAUGAGUGGCAGACGGGUGAGUAACGCGUGGGAAUCUACCCAUCUCUGCGGAAUAGCUCUGGGAAACUGGAGUUAAUACCGCAUACGCCCUACGGGGGAAAGAUUUAUCGGGGAUGGAUGAGCCCGCGUUGGAUUAGCUAGUCGGUGGGGUAAAGGCCUACCAAGGCGACGAUCCAUAGCUGGUCUGAGAGGAUGAUCAGCCACAUUGGGACUGAGACACGGCCCAAACUCCUACGGGAGGCAGCAGUGGGGAAUAUUGGACAAUGGGCGCAAGCCUGAUCCAGCCAUGCCGCGUGAGUGAUGAAGGCCUUAGGGUUGUAAAGCUCUUUCACCGAUGAAGAUAAUGACGGUAGUCGGAGAAGAAGCCCCGGCUAACUUCGUGCCAGCCGCCGCCGUAA